RNAcentral lists this ribosomal RNA (449 nucleotides) under Amblyomma dissimile (iguana tick). RNAcentral's name for it is "partial 16S ribosomal RNA". The stretch from base 299 to 449 matches the Rfam family "Archaeal large subunit ribosomal RNA", at positions 2542 to 2693 of the family's 2987-position model. The record is from RNAcentral. Lineage: Eukaryota; Metazoa; Arthropoda; Arachnida; Ixodida; Ixodidae.
AUUUUUUAAAUUGCUGUGGUAUUUUGACUAUACAAAGGUAUUGUAAUAAGACUUUAAUUGAGUGCUAAAAGAAUGGAAUUACAAAAAAAGGCUUUUUUAAUUUUAAAAAUUAAAAUUAUUUUUUUUUGUGAAGAAACAAAAAUUUAAAUUAAAGACAAGAAGACCCUAAGAAUUUUUUUUUUUAUUAAAAUAAUAUUUUAUUUUAAAAAUUUACUUGAGACGAUUAAUUAAUAUUAAAAACUUUAUUAAUAAAAAAAAUGAUCCAUUAUUAAUGAUUAUUUGAUUAAAAUACUCUAGGGAUAACAGCGUAAUAAUUUUUGAUAGUUCUUAUAGAAAAAAUAGUUUGCGACCUCGAUGUUGGAUUAGGAUUGUUUUUUAAUGAAGAAGUUAAAAAAAGAAGUUUGUUCAACUUUUAAAUUCCUACUUGAUCUGAGUUCAGACAUCCCUGA